GCGGGUGUGGUGAAAUUGGUAUACACGCUAGAUUUAGGAUCUAGUGCCGCAAGGCGUGAAGGUUCGAGUCCUUUCACCCGCA
Molecule: transfer RNA, 82 nt
Filed under: Neolewinella marina
Lineage: Bacteria; Pseudomonadati; Bacteroidota; Saprospiria; Saprospirales; Lewinellaceae
Also listed under: 6 other names
Description: Lewinella marina tRNA
Rfam family: tRNA
About the family: Transfer RNA (tRNA) molecules are approximately 80 nucleotides in length. Their secondary structure includes four short double-helical elements and three loops (D, anti-codon, and T loops). Further hydrogen bonds mediate the characteristic L-shaped molecular structure. tRNAs have two regions of fundamental functional importance: the anti-codon, which is responsible for specific mRNA codon recognition, and the 3' end, to which the tRNAs corresponding amino acid is attached (by aminoacyl-tRNA synthetases). tRNAs cope with the degeneracy of the genetic code in two manners: having more than one tRNA (with a specific anti-codon) for a particular amino acid; and 'wobble' base-pairing, i.e. permitting non-standard base-pairing at the 3rd anti-codon position.
Source: Rfam by way of RNAcentral